GACGAACGCUGGCGGCGUGCCUAAUACAUGCAAGUAGAACGCUGAAGGAGGAGCUUGCUUCUCUGGAUGAGUUGCGAACGGGUGAGUAACGCGUAGGUAACCUGCCUGGUAGCGGGGGAUAACUAUUGGAAACGAUAGCUAAUACCGCAUAAUAGUAGAUGUUGCAUGACAUUUACUUAAAAGGUGCAAUUGCAUCACUACCAGAUGGACCAGCGUUGUAUUAGCUAGUUGGUGGGGUAACGGCUCACCAAGGCGACGAUACAUAGCCGACCUGAGAGGGUGAUCGGCCACACUGGGACUGAGACACGGCCCAGACUCCUACGGGAGGCAGCAGUAGGGAAUCUUCGGCAAUGGACGAAAGUCUGACCGAGCAACGCCGCGUGAGUGAAGAAGGUUUUCGGAUCGUAAAGCUCUGUUGUAAGAGAAGAACGAGUGUGAGAGUGGAAAGUUCACACUGUGACGGUAUCUUACCAGAAAGGGACGGCUAACUACGUG
Molecule: ribosomal RNA, 495 nt
Filed under: uncultured bacterium
Lineage: Bacteria
Description: partial 16S ribosomal RNA
Rfam family: Bacterial small subunit ribosomal RNA
Source: RNAcentral